RNAcentral lists this ribosomal RNA (316 nucleotides) under uncultured Clostridium sp. RNAcentral's name for it is "bacterial SSU rRNA". It matches the Rfam family "Bacterial small subunit ribosomal RNA", at positions 355 to 688 of the family's 1533-position model. Lineage: Bacteria; Bacillati; Bacillota; Clostridia; Eubacteriales; Clostridiaceae. The record is from RNAcentral.
UGGGGGAUAUUGGACAAUGGGGGAAACCCUGAUCCAGCGAUGCCGCGUGGGGGAAGAAGGUUUUCGGAUUGUAAACCUCUGUGGACAGGGACGAUAAUGACGGUACCUGUUUAGAAAGCCACGGCUAACUACGUGCCAGCAGCCGCGGUAAUACGUAGGUGGCGAGCGUUGUCCGGAAUUACUGGGUGUAAAGGGAGUGUAGGCGGGAAGGCAAGUCAGAAGUGAAAAUUAUGGGCUUAACCCAUAACCUGCUUUUGAAACUGUUUUUCUUGAGUGAGGCAGAGGCAAGCGGAAUUCCUAGUGUAGCGGUGAAAUG